Paramormyrops kingsleyae is the source of this 1406-nucleotide long non-coding RNA. RefSeq lists it as uncharacterized. The record is from RefSeq and is a predicted model, not a curated record. NCBI's taxonomy places the organism in Eukaryota, Metazoa, Chordata, Actinopteri, Osteoglossiformes, Mormyridae.
UGUACCCAAGCGCACGCGGAGCGCUCGGAGGAGCGCUUGCUUGUCGGAACACAUGGGCAGGCGGUCGGGCAUGAGUGCUGCUAUUGCCCCAUCGGAGGGCAUUUCCACUUGGAAUAAUCGGCACAUUUCCACGCGUGAAGCGGCGCGCCGGUAAGACUUUGGGAAACAUGCAUAUGUCUUUCUGUCCAGCGCCUCCAUGGACGCUCGGAUUGUUUUUCUGAAGAAGAUGAUGCAAAAUACAGACGGGAGCAAGCUAAGCUGUACUUUGCCGUCGCUGCUGAUCACGCUGCUGCUUAUAAUAUGUACAUUUCGAUUUAAUAUUUCUAAAUGAAGAUCGGAAUAUGCUUUCAGUUGUUGGAAGUAGGCUAUAUGCUCUAUACUCCAAACGAAGGGAGAUGCAGGUUUCAAGAUCAUUCAUUCUGAGGAAUGUACAAAAAACUCUAUUUUAAAAAUUAUAUAUAUUAAAAAAACGAUAAACAUGAUUUGCAGUGUUUAAAGGACGGCUGAGUUGAGACUGACGCGUUUUGUCGCAAACGCUUUUGCGAUUGCGUGGUUCCAGCCUUCUCCUCCCCCAGGACCUAAAUAUCAGCCACCCGCCCCUUGCCGCCAUCCCUGUGUCCCGCCACCCUGUUCACAUCAGCAGGACAGCGCCUCCGUGGGGCACCCUGCUGUUACGGUCAUCAGGGAUAGCAUGUCAUGGUAUAAAAAUAGGCCGACGUCGAGAGAGCACGGGGCUCCGGGCGCCGGUCCCACCGGCGCGUCAAUCUGGCAUCCGGGGGGGAACGACCUGACCCCUCCCUCCUCAGAGAGUGCAUCCCCGUCAGGUUAACAUCACGGCUUGCAGAUGGAGGCGGGGCAGAUCAGGACCCAUAUGGCAAGAGGCCCGCCCCCUGCCCAGUGGAUCACGCACGUUCACGCCGAAUCGAAGGUGUUAACAGGCCGAAAGCAGGUCAUGUCCUGAAGUCAAAGUUCACCGGAUUUGAAUGGGAGCAUCAAGGCUGCAUUCGAGCAGCUCGUAGGAGUCUGCAACAGGGAGGGUCCCACAUAACUGCAGGCUGACUCACACUAUCACUUUUCUCUCUCCCACAGGUGCUCAUGCACUUUCUGUCUCUCUUUCUGUCCGGAUCACAGGAAGCCCAUCCCUCGCCUUCCUGUACCCCCCUCCCCCCACCAGCUGCUUGACUAUCUGCCUGACUGCCUGUGCUGUCCCACCACCUUGUACUGCCCACUGCCUCCCAAAGGAGGAUAAACACUCCCGUGAGUUUCCUCUUCUCCCUGAGGGACCGUUUCCCUGUCACUGUCACCUCGAGCUCACUCUUACCUCGGGGACUCUGUAAAGUGCUUUGCGACGCUGCUCUUUGUUAAAAGUGCAAUCUGAAUAAAGUCGAAUUGAGUUGAAUCAGUCA